ACACAUGUACACACACGCACACACAGCUACACACCCCCUUUUCAAGGAGAGAGAGAGCACACUCAGCUCACAGGACCCUGAAAGCCCACUCUGGUGAUUCCUGCACACACUGAGACUCCAGACCAGGACCCAGACGUCCCACCUGCACAUAUAUAUCGGACACGCAACCCUCAACGCACACACAGCAGCACUGCAGUCAUGUCGGACUCUGAGACCGCCGCCGCCCCCGCCGAGGCCCCCGUCCCUGCCGCUUGUGCCAGCAUCAAGGCCGACCUGGACAAAUGUGUGGCCGAGAAGGGAGCCGAGGGCUGCAAGGAUCUGAUGGAGGCCUUCGCUGCUUGUGUGAAGAGCGCAGCUGAGGCGACGUCGUGAGGAAGUUGCUCUACAACUUCCGAUGUCCCUCAAUUUGGUCCACUGCACUGAGUCCUCCAAGUUCCCAGCAUUCCCUUCUGCACAACAGCACUGGACUGAGCGAAAACAACAACAACAAUGAUGCUGAUGAUGAUGAUGAUAGUGAUGCACAUGGUGUUUGGGAUCUGGCAGCAGUAAACCAGUUUCCUCCUGUCUUUAAACUUACCCCGUGUUCCUCAGUCUUACCCCCCGUUCUCCCUCCCCCUUCUCCUCCAUGGGUGACAUACAGAACAUCGACUUGUAGACAAUUCCAGAGAGCCGAUGGGCUGUGAUGUAAAUUGUCGACUUGAAAUGAAAUCUUAUAAAUGGAAAUAAAAGUGAAUAUUGAUAUAAA
Molecule: long non-coding RNA, 745 nt
Organism: Solea solea (common sole)
Lineage: Eukaryota; Metazoa; Chordata; Actinopteri; Pleuronectiformes; Soleidae
Exons: 4
Source: RefSeq, a predicted model, not a curated record